Molecule: ribosomal RNA, 377 nt
Filed under: uncultured soil bacterium
Lineage: Bacteria
Description: bacterial SSU rRNA
Rfam family: Bacterial small subunit ribosomal RNA
Source: RNAcentral
AGAGCGAACGCUGGCGGCAGGCCUAACACAUGCAAGUCGAACGGACUCUUCGGGGUUAGUGGCGGACGGGUGAGUAACACGUGGGAACGUGCCUUUAGGUUCGGAAUAGCUCCUGGAAACGGGUGGUAAUGCCGAAUGUGCCCUUCGGGGGAAAGAUUUAUCGCCUUUAGAGCGGCCCGCGUCUGAUUAGCUAGUUGGUGAGGUAAAGGCUCACCAAGGCUACGAUCAGUAGCUGGUCUGAGAGGAUGACCAGCCACAGUUGGGACUGGAGACCGACGGACCCCAAAACUCCCGUAACGGGGACGGCGAGCGAGGUAGGGGAAUCUUGCGGCAAGUGGGACGAAAGCCGUAGACGCACGCCAUGCCGCGUAGAAGUG